UUUUAGCCCUGAUGGCAGUGACAUCCUUUCUUUGCCUUUUUAGGCAGAGAAAGAUAUAACGGACAGCAGGAUUAGCU
RNAcentral lists this small RNA (77 nucleotides) under Flavobacterium sp. 11. Its description in RNAcentral is "Flavo-1 RNA". It matches the Rfam family "Flavo-1 RNA". The record is from RNAcentral. Lineage: Bacteria; Pseudomonadati; Bacteroidota; Flavobacteriia; Flavobacteriales; Flavobacteriaceae.